GGGUUGUGAGGUUAAGCGACUAAGCGUACACGGUGGAUGCCCUGGCAGUCAGAGGCGAUGAAGGGCGUGCUAAUCUGCGAUAAGCGCCGGUAAGGUGAUAUGAACCGUUAUAACCGGCGAUACCCGAAUGGGGAAACCCAGUGUGAUUCGUCACACUAUCAUUAACUGAAUCCAUAGGUUAAUGAGGCGAACCGGGGGAACUGAAACAUCUAAGUACCCCGAGGAAAAGAAAUCAACCGAGAUUCCCCCAGUAGCGGCGAGCGAACGGGGAGGAGCCCAGAGCCUGAAUCAGCAUGUGUGUUAGUGGAAGCGUCUGGAAAGGCGCGCGAUACAGGGUGACAGCCCCGUACACAAAAGCGCAUGUGCUGUGAGCUCGAUGAGUAGGGCGGGACACGUGGUAUCCUGUCUGAAUAUGGGGGGACCAUCCUCCAAGGCUAAAUACUCCUGACUGACCGAUAGUGAACCAGUACCGUGAGGGAAAGGCGAAAAGAACCCCGGCGAGGGGAGUGAAAAAGAACCUGAAACCGUGUACGUACAAGCAGUGGGAGCACAGGUUUACCUGUGUGACUGCGUACCUUUUGUAUAAUGGGUCAGCGACUUAUAUUCUGUAGCAAGGUUAACCGUAUAGGGGAGCCGAAGGGAAACCGAGUCUUAACCGGGCGUUAAGUUGCAGGGUAUAGACCCGAAACCCGGUGAUCUAGCCAUGGGCAGGUUGAAGGUUGGGUAACACUAACUGGAGGACCG
RNAcentral lists this ribosomal RNA (744 nucleotides) under Salmonella enterica subsp. enterica serovar Newport. RNAcentral's name for it is "partial 23S ribosomal RNA". It matches the Rfam family "Bacterial large subunit ribosomal RNA", at positions 1 to 776 of the family's 2925-position model. Lineage: Bacteria; Pseudomonadati; Pseudomonadota; Gammaproteobacteria; Enterobacterales; Enterobacteriaceae. The record is from RNAcentral.